AAUUUCUGCUUCUGCUGUGAGGCUGUCUCUUUCUCCUCCCACUAGAAGGAAUUGUUCUCUCUUAUGUUUCUCUCAUAGCACUUGGUUCAUACCUUCAUCGUGCCACUAGGAUGAUACAGCAAUUGAGAUCUGAAACUAGACAAUGUCCUGUUGGACCACGAGGGUCACUGUAAACUGGCAGACUUCGGAAUGUGCAAGGAGGGGAUUUGCAAUGGUGUCACCACGGCCACAUUCUGUGGCACGCCAGACUAUAUCGCUCCAGAGAUCCUCCAGGAAAUGCUGUACGGGCCUGCAGUAGACUGGUGGGCAAUGGGCGUGUUGCUCUAUGAGAUGCUCUGUGGUCACGCGCCUUUUGAGGCAGAGAACGAAGAUGACCUCUUUGAGGCCAUACUGAAUGAUGAGGUGGUCUACCCUACCUGGCUCCAUGAAGAUGCCACAGGGAUCCUAAAAUCUUUCAUGACCAAGAACCCCACCAUGCGCUUGGGCAGCCUGACUCAGGGAGGCGAGCAUGCCAUCUUGAGACAUCCUUUUUUUAAGGAAAUCGACUGGGCCCAGCU
RNAcentral lists this small RNA (557 nucleotides) under Pan troglodytes (chimpanzee). RNAcentral's name for it is "processed transcript". Lineage: Eukaryota; Metazoa; Chordata; Mammalia; Primates; Hominidae. The record is from RNAcentral.